AGAGUUUGAUCCUGGCUCAGGAUGAACGCUGGCGGUAUGCUUAACACAUGCAAGUCGAACGGUGUCUUCGGACACAGUGGCGGACGGGUGAGUAACGCGUGAGAAUCUGGCUUUAGGUCUGGGACAACCACUGGAAACGGUGGCUAAUACCGGAUGUGCCCUUCGGGGUGAAAGGUUAACUGCCUGAAGAUGAGCUCGCGUCUGAUUAGCUAGUUGGAAGUGUAAUGGACUCCCAAGGCGACGAUCAGUAGCUGGUCUGAGAGGACGAUCAGCCACACUGGGACUGAGACACGGCCCAGACUCCUACGGGAGGCAGCAGUGGGGAAUUUUCCGCAAUGGGCGAAAGCCUGACGGAGCAAUACCGCGUGAGGGAGGAAGGCUCUUGGGUCAUAAACCUCUUUUCUCAGGGAAGAACACAAUGACGGUACCUGAGGAAUAAGCAUCGGCUAACUCCGCGCCAGCAGCCGCGGUAAUACGGAGGAUGCAGGCGUUAUCCGGAAUGAUUGGGCGUAAAGCGUCCGCAGGUGGCAAUGUAAGUCUGCUGUUAAAGAGUCUAGCUCAACUAGAUAAAAGCAGUGGAAACUACAUAGCUAGAGUACGUUCGGGGCAGAGGGAAUUCCUGGUGUAGCGGUGAAAUGCGUAGAGAUCAGGAAGAACACCAGUGGCGAAGGCGCUCUGCUAGGCCGUAACUGACACUGAGGGACGAAAGCUAGGGGAGCGAAUGGGAUUAGAUACCCCAGUAGUC
RNAcentral lists this ribosomal RNA (745 nucleotides) under Nostoc sp. LEGE 12454. RNAcentral describes it as "bacterial SSU rRNA". It matches the Rfam family "Bacterial small subunit ribosomal RNA", at positions 8 to 795 of the family's 1533-position model. The record is from RNAcentral. Lineage: Bacteria; Bacillati; Cyanobacteriota; Cyanophyceae; Nostocales; Nostocaceae.